UACAUGGGGUGCAAACGUUGCUCGGAAUUAUUGGGCGUAAAGCGCACGUAGGCGGUUCGUUAAGUCGGAUGUGAAAGCCCUCGGCUCAACUGAGGAAGUGCACCCGAAACUGGCGAGCUUGAGUACGAAAGAGGAUCGCGGAAUUCCUGGUGUAGCGGUGGAAUGCGCAGAUAUCAGGAGGAACACCGAUGGCGAAGGCAGGUCUCUGGGCCGUAACUGACGCUGAGGAGCGAAAGCGUGGGGAGCGAACAGG
Molecule: ribosomal RNA, 253 nt
Filed under: uncultured bacterium
Lineage: Bacteria
Description: partial 16S ribosomal RNA
Rfam family: Bacterial small subunit ribosomal RNA
Source: RNAcentral